RNAcentral lists this ribosomal RNA (253 nucleotides) under uncultured bacterium. RNAcentral describes it as "partial 16S ribosomal RNA". It matches the Rfam family "Bacterial small subunit ribosomal RNA", at positions 524 to 776 of the family's 1533-position model. The record is from RNAcentral.
UACAGAGGGGGCAAGCGUUGUUCGGAAUUACUGGGCGUAAAGGGCGCGUAGGCGGCCUGCUAAGUCGAACGUGAAAUCCCUGGGCUCAACCCAGGAACUGCGUCCGAUACUGGUUGGCUUGAAUCCGGGAGAGGGAUGUGGAAUUCCAGGUGUAGCGGUGAAAUGCGUAGAUAUCUGGAGGAACACCGGUGGCGAAGGCGGGUCUCUGGGCAAUUCCUGACGCUGAGGCGCGAAAGCGUGGGGAGCAAACGGG